AGCUUUCUUUCUCUGCCACCCUCCUGGCUUACGCACUGUGACGAGGAAUCUGCCAGGUCAGAGAGGCUCGCCUCACAAAGAACCAAGAACAGCAGCAAGGAACUGAGGCGUUAGUCCCGCGAUCCACUUGCAAAGAACUGAAUCCUGUCUGCAACCAUCCCUGUGAGCUGGGAAGCAGAUACCCCCUCGGUCGAGCCUGAGGGGAUGACCGCCUCCCCGGCUGCCACUUGACUAUGGCCUGUGAGAGACCCUCAAGCAGUGGGCCCAGUGAAGCCACACCAGAUCCAGAAAUAGACGAACGUCUUGAGUUUUAGCGGAACACGUGGCUGGCCAGCUCGAGGCCACGCUUCCCAGCUGCUUUUGCAGCUAGAAAGUGGCACCAACUAGUAUGAUCACAUGAGAUGCAAAAUGGAAGCGAAAGAUUGAAGGUGACAGACUAUCAGGGCCAGCGUACCGGCCUGCGCGCCCGUAGGACAUCGUGUAGCAGAGCUGUCCGCCAGUGUUCCCCACCCAUGGCUGCGCUGUUCCAUGGAGGACAAGUUAACAUUGAUGCUACUUCAGAAUUGAUGGCUAGAGCUGCAGUAUCAUCUUGUAACCACAGGAGAAAGGUCAGGAGAAUCAGAUACAUCAACCCUGACAUCAGUGACCCAGAGAACCAAGGCCAGCUCUUCUUGACUUCCAGAGGGCGGAGAAGGACAAUGCCUUCCUCGUCAAUGGAAGCCGAUCCCAGAGGCUCCAGCCCUGGGAGUAAAUGAGAGAUGGAGGAACUGGAUUGUCUGGAUCCAGUUUUUACCAAAAUGAUGGGCCAGAGAAAAGAAGGAACCUUACGGAGUAUGACCUAGUUACAUUUCCAUCCCAAGGAAAAAUGAGGAGAGAGAGAGCGAGCAUGAGCAGCAGAAGGAC
Molecule: long non-coding RNA, 903 nt
Organism: Hyaena hyaena (striped hyena)
Lineage: Eukaryota; Metazoa; Chordata; Mammalia; Carnivora; Hyaenidae
Exons: 6
Source: RefSeq, a predicted model, not a curated record